CCUUUAUUUAUUGGCGGCCUUUUUUCUUAUUAGAGGAACUCGUCUCAUAAUCGUCAAUCCUCGUUAAUUUUUACUUUUUUUUAUCUCUUAUACCGCCGUCUAAAGAUUAAAUUCCUUUUUCAAGAAAAAAUAAUUUUAUUAAGUCAGGUAAAGGUGAGGAAAAUAAAAAAGAGAAGAUAAGUUACUUAUGAAAAUUAUUUUUGGAUACACAAUUUAACUCUUUGUUGAAAAAGGAUUUAAUAGUAA
Molecule: ribosomal RNA, 246 nt
Filed under: Conothele sp. MYG002
Lineage: Eukaryota; Metazoa; Arthropoda; Arachnida; Araneae; Ctenizidae
Description: partial 12S ribosomal RNA
Source: RNAcentral